This 397-nucleotide ribosomal RNA is filed under the name uncultured bacterium. RNAcentral's name for it is "partial 16S ribosomal RNA". It matches the Rfam family "Bacterial small subunit ribosomal RNA", at positions 523 to 918 of the family's 1533-position model. The record is from RNAcentral.
AUACGUAGGGGGCGAGCGUUGUCCGGAAUGAUUGGGCGUAAAGGGCGCGUAGGCGGCCCGGUAAGUCUGGAGUGAAAGUCCUGUUUUUAAGAUGGGAAUUGCUUUGGAUACUGUCGGGCUUGAGUGCAGGAGAGGUAAGUGGAAUUCCCAGUGUAGCGGUGAAAUGCGUAGAGAUUGGGAGGAACACCAGUGGCGAAGGCGACUUACUGGACUGUAACUGACGCUGAGGCGCGAAAGUGUGGGGAGCAAACAGGAUUAGAUACCCUGGUAGUCCACACUGUAAACGAUGAAUGCUAGGUGUAAGAGGUAUCGACCCCUUUUGUGCCGGAGUUAACACAAGAAGCAUUCCGCCUGGGGAGUACGGCCGCAAGGUUGAAACUCAAAGGAAUUGACGGGG